RNAcentral lists this long non-coding RNA (957 nucleotides) under Salvia miltiorrhiza (redroot sage). RNAcentral's name for it is "long non-coding RNA (SMIL_LNC001949)". Lineage: Eukaryota; Viridiplantae; Streptophyta; Magnoliopsida; Lamiales; Lamiaceae. The record is from RNAcentral.
GUUAAUGGCAUGUAAAUAACCAAACUAUUUUCAAAUUCUGGUUUAAAUACUGAACUGAAAAGUGUAUCAUGGAAAUAGCUACACUAAUAAUUUAAUCUGAUUUUGCAACUCCGGUAAUUUUCCGGGCAAAAAUUAAUGACGUGGACGGUGGAAAUUUCGACGUGGCAUCGCCGGCGAAACAACGAAACACAGUCGUUUCAAAUAAAUCAAACGUCGUCGUUUUACCUAAAUUGGGUGAGGAGUGUCAUUUUUUAUAUAAAUUGGAACCCUAAACCUAAUUGUACCAUUUCUGGUCUUCGUUUAUCAAAUUCGACGCAAGGAUGAGCAAAUAUUGGAAUAGCGAGACCGGCGAAUCAGUCUCUAGCUCAAGCUCGUCUGAGUUGCGCUUCAACUCACCCAACAAUUCGCGUUUUGGUAAUUGGGCAGUACGACCAAAGCUCUGCAAACAUGGUCUUGCUUCGUUGAGAACUUCUCAUACCCCUCUAAAUCCAUUGCGCCGAUUCUACUGCUGCAGUCGACGCAAUGUUAGUUGAGCUUUUGAAUUAUAUUUAUUUGUUUUGUUUAUAACUGAAUAAUUUAGUUGUUGAAUUUGUUUUUGUGAAUGUAGUCUGCCGACGAUUGUGGGUUAUGGGAAUGGGUCGAUCCGGAACUGAAUGACCACUACAAAGAGUGCAUUUCAAAACUUAUGAAUGAAAUUGCUAAAGCUGAGGAGCAAAGGGAUGAAGCGACAAUGGCGGCUACUUUCAGCAGCCAGAGGUUCGAAUCAAGAUUGGCUGCAAUCAAUUCAGCUGUUGUGGAGGUUGAUCUACUGAAAGCGAGGAAUGAGACGCUUGAAGAAAUUGUUCGUGCUCAGUCUAUGAAGAUUCAGAUAACCAAAUGGUUUGUUUGCAUUGUGGCCUUGUUGUUUGCGAUGCUGUGGGUUGUGAAGUAAUGUAGGCUUUAGGCGGUAGCUUUUAG